Molecule: non-coding RNA, 797 nt
Organism: Salvelinus sp. IW2-2015
Lineage: Eukaryota; Metazoa; Chordata; Actinopteri; Salmoniformes; Salmonidae
Source: RefSeq, a predicted model, not a curated record
GAAAGCCGCGCAACUGUCUCCCAGGAAAMAGCAGUACGACCAACACAUUCCCCGUUUUUGGGACUGGCACAUCAUGCUGUCGCUGUGAACGUAUUUUGUCGCCUAUUUUAGGUACACUGAAAUAUAUUAGCCAUUAAGUUUAGCUCGAUAAUGUAAGUAUCCAGCGAUAUUGUUUGUUGCAACAUGCUAGCAGUAACUGACUUUGCCAGGGAGCCUUUGCUCGAGCACGUGAAUUAUUUCACAAAUGGGGGGGGGGGGGUCAUCAUUCCAGAAUCUACAAGACCUCUCUGCCCUCUUAUCCAUGCAGGACGAGGAUUAUGAAGAUGAUUGUAAGGUGAAAAUCCAACUGCCAGACACCAAAGCAACAGAUAUAGUCCUGGAUGGAUGUGAAGGAGAAAGUCCUUGUUCUGCGAACACCAUACUUCUAAGUUGCUUGCCUGUCAUCGUUCUGCAAAGAGUUCCAGGAUAUCAAUCCAUAGCCAGAAAACUCUUUGCCACGAUUUGCUGACCUCCUCUCAUGCUCCUUUUUUCUUCAUAAGGAGAGAAGUGUUUUAUAUCUAUCUAAAACAUCUGUCAUCUCAGCCAUGACUGAAAAUCCCCUCUCUUCCUCUCCUUUUGUCCAGAUGAGCAGGUCCGAGGUGUUGGCUUCAAACCGGUAGCUGCUUAGGGCUCAAAUGUAUAGACUUUGAUCCCCUUAUAAUAUUCAUAGGAAUUCACUCAUAGAUGUUCUACGCUAAAACAAUAAAAACAUUUGUAAUAGUGCUCUUGGAAAUAAAUAGCUACUCUUGUUGAAACUA